RNAcentral lists this transfer RNA (65 nucleotides) under Derodontidae sp. BMNH 899913. RNAcentral describes it as "tRNA-Met". The record is from RNAcentral. Lineage: Eukaryota; Metazoa; Arthropoda; Insecta; Coleoptera; Derodontidae.
AAAAAGAUAAGCUAAAAUAAGCUUAUAGGUUCAUACCCUAUCCAUGAAUUUAAAUUCUCUUUUUA